Molecule: ribosomal RNA, 460 nt
Filed under: uncultured bacterium
Lineage: Bacteria
Description: partial 16S ribosomal RNA
Rfam family: Bacterial small subunit ribosomal RNA
Source: RNAcentral
CCUACGGGUGGCAGCAGUGAGGAAUAUUGGUCAAUGGACGAGAGUCUGAACCAGCCAAGUAGCGUGAAGGAUGACUGCCCUAUGGGUUGUAAACUUCUUUUAUAUGGGAAUAAAAUGUUCCACGUGUGGGAUUUUGUAUGUACCAUAUGAAUAAGGAUCGGCUAACUCCGUGCCAGCAGCCGCGGUAAUACGGAGGAUCCGAGCGUUAUCCGGAUUUAUUGGGUUUAAAGGGAGCGUAGGUGGAUUGUUAAGUCAGCUGUGAAAGUUUGAGGCUCAACCGUAAAAUUGCAGUUGAAACUGGCAGUCGUGAGUACAGUAGAGGUGGGCGGAAUGCGUGGUGUAGCGGUGAAAUGCUUAGAUAUCACGAAGAACUCCGAUUGCGAAGGCAGCUCACUGGACUGCAACUGACACUGAGGCUCGAAAAUGUGGGUAUCAAACAGGAUUAGAGACCCCUGUAGUC